This 407-nucleotide ribosomal RNA is filed under the name uncultured bacterium. RNAcentral describes it as "partial 16S ribosomal RNA". It matches the Rfam family "Bacterial small subunit ribosomal RNA", at positions 30 to 526 of the family's 1533-position model. The record is from RNAcentral.
AUUGAACGCUAGCGGCAUGCCUUACACAUGCAAGUCGAACGGAGUGGCGAACGGGUGAGUAAUGUAUCGGAACGUGCCCAGUAGCGGGGGAUAACUACGCGAAAGCGUAGCUAAUAACGCAUACUUUUGAUGCGGUCGAUCCCGGUUUGGCUAGUGGGUGGGGUAACGGCGCACCAAGGCCACCAUCCGUAGCUGGUUUGAGAGGACGACCAGCCACACUGGGACUGAGACACGGCCCAGACUCCUACGGGAGGCAGCAGUGGGGAAUUUUGGACAAUGGGGGAAACCCUGAUCCAGCCAUCCCGCGUGUGCGAUGAAGGCCUUCGGGUUGUAAAGCACUUUUGGCAGGAAAGCGGUACCUGCAGAAUAAGCACCGGCUAACUACGUGCCAGCAGCCGCGGUAAUAC